UAAUACCAUCCACACAUGUAUAACCUUGGUUUGAAUAAAAUUAAUACAUAAGAGCGAGAAGUGUUCAGUCAUAUGUGGACAAGAUUCUAGUGCGGCAGUGUUCAGUUAAUUUAAACAUUUCUCGAAUAGUCUUCUAAUAUCGAAAUGGACUUACUUCGUGUAACUUCCGACGAAAGAACUCAAAUUUUGAAACUUUACAACGUUGACAAUACCCGAUUAAAACAAGACAUUGAAAUGAUCACAACUUGGAAAUCAAAACAACCCCAUCUUCAAGUUGAUGUAAGUGACGAAUUUCUCGAGAAAUUGUUACUUAAAAAUAAAUUCAGUGUUGAAAGAUGUAAAGAAAAAUUAGAAAAUUAUUACACGCUUCGUGGGACAAAUAAGGAUUUGUUGGAAGGUUAUGAGAAAAUUCUACCGUCACAAGAAGCACUAACUUUUUUACCACUUCCUCAACUCACCCAAAAUUACGAACGUAUCAUAGUCAUGAAACUGAUAAACACUGAUCCAAAAAUCUACGAUCUUGUACGCGUUUUCAAAUUUGCAGUAAGCCUAAAUGAAAUGAUGUUACGACAUGAUGGCAGUUUAGGAAUUCGAGUUCUUAUAGACUACACAGGUUUCACUGUAAAACAUUUAGCUACUUGGAAUCCUGUAAUUUUGAUGAGAUAUUAUAGCCUCGCUGAAAAAGCUUACUCUCUGCGAAUUAUGGAAUUAGAAUUCAUUAAUUACCCAUCGUUUGUCAACAAAAUUUUCUCAAUAUUUAGGAUGUUUCUACGACCAAAAAUUUACGAACGAAUAAAACUUCACGAAAAUCUAGAAUCUUUAUACAAGGUAAUCCCCAAAAAAUAUUUACCGGAGGACUAUGGAGGUACUAAUGGCAAAAUCUCUGAUUUGUUAGAAAAAUGGGACAAAGAAGUAAAAACACAAGAAAAUUUUCUACUAGAGUGUGCAAACACUGUCGCAAAUGAGGAGCUACGUCCUCCAGAAUCACAAGAAAAUGAUUUAUUUGGAACGGGUGUGACUUCAAAUGGACUUACUUCGAGUAACUUCCGACGAAAGAACAGAAAUUUUGAAACUUUACAACAUCGACAAUGCCCGUUUAAAAGAAGACAUUGAAGUUCUUAAAAUUUGGAAGUCCAAGCAACCCCAUCUUGAAAAAAAUUUAAGCGAUAAUUUCUUUGAGAAAUUGUUACUUAAAAAUAAAUUCAGUAUCGAACGAUGUAAAGAGAAAUUGGAAAAUUAUUACACGCUUCGUGGGAAGAAUAAAGAUUUACUGGAAGAUUAUGAAAAAAUUGUACCCUCACAAAAAG
Molecule: RNA transcript, 1307 nt
Organism: Tribolium castaneum (red flour beetle)
Lineage: Eukaryota; Metazoa; Arthropoda; Insecta; Coleoptera; Tenebrionidae
Gene name: retinol-binding protein pinta
Exons: 9
Source: RefSeq, a predicted model, not a curated record